This is a long non-coding RNA of Carassius gibelio (silver crucian carp), 1204 nucleotides long. RefSeq lists it as uncharacterized. Lineage: Eukaryota; Metazoa; Chordata; Actinopteri; Cypriniformes; Cyprinidae. The transcript has 3 exons. The record is from RefSeq and is a predicted model, not a curated record.
AGGGUUAAAAGCGGACUUGGCAACACCGCAAAUCAGGCAUCGCUAGUUCUGAACUCAUUUUGGCAUAUGGUUACCUCCAUCCUCAUAUUAUUAAUAAACCACUCAUUUCGUAUAAGAUCAAGUGUCUCACGUGUGCUUUUUUUCUUUGCUAAUACAAUCACUUCAUUAAACUAAACUAAGCUGCUGGUUCUCAAGUUAAGAGGAUCUGAUAACGCUUAACCUCACCAAGACUGCGAUCAAUUAGUAGGAGGUUCAUAAUUAAUGAGGAACAGGAGUGAGAUGCGCCGUACCUUCAGCUCCGGCAUGCUGCCAAUCAGCUCGUAGGGCAAACGCACUUCCGGUUGGUUUUUGUAGUCCAGUGGCACGAGCUGGGGAGCUAAAUCACGGUAUCGAUGAAACAGUCUGAACAAAGAUGACAAACAUUCAUUGACAGCUCUCCUCAACUAUUCUUCUAUCACUCCAGUCCAGAUUGGUGAAUGAGGUUGGUCAGUGACAGCCGCAGCUGCCGGCCACCAUGUCAUCAUACUGCUUCAGAACCACGUUCUCAUCGUCGUCAAAGUACAGGAGGUUAAUGCUGAAGAGCUUGUCCGGCACGCAGCAGGGCGUCUCGAUGCCUUUGGUCAGUUUGAGGGCGUUGAUGAUGGACUGGACCGUGGCGUGGUUGGUGGGCCUCAUGUUCUGACCCAGAGGAAAUGGACAGGAGCCUUUGCAGUGGUAAGCGUUGUAUCCACGCGGAGACACGAUCCAGCCGGACCAGCCGAUCUCCUCGAAGUCCACAUAGAGCGGCAGACGCUGACACGGCAUCUUCUCCCCGCUCUCAUCAUAGUCUAUGGAGCGAGCGCUGCGACGAGCCGUAGCUGAGAGAGGGAGGCUGGGAAACGGGAGCCUGGGUCCAACCGGAGAAUCAUCUGAACCUGAAGACAAAGAGGAAACUUUUAGAUGCCAUGGACUAUCCUUGUGCAAGUCAUGCUCAACUUAAAAUAUCCCCAAACUUCUUUGUUUAGGACCAGAUGUAUUUAUUUAAAUCACUCGUGGAGCUUAUUUGAGAUUACUGUGAAGAAACAUCAGUCUAAUUGAGCUGUUAAAGACUUAUAUAUGGCUUACCUUUAGGCGUGAGCUCCAGAGAAGCGGCCCGUCUGCCGUCAUCGGUGAAGAGGACCAGCAUGGGCUGUUUGCUGUGAUGGUGGUUUUGGCCUGAUGCAAA